AGAGUUUGAUCAUGGCUCAGAACGAACGCUGGCGGCAGGCUUAACACAUGCAAGUCGAACGGUUGUAGCAAUACAGCAGUGGCAGACGGGUGAGUAACACGUGGGAACCUUCCUAGGGGUACGGAACAACUCAGGGAAACUUGAGCUAAUACCGUAUACGUCCGUGAGGAGAAAGUUUUAACGCCCCUAGACGGGCCCGCGUAGGAUUAGGUAGUUGGUGAGGUAACGGCUCACCAAGCCUACGAUCCUUAGCUGAUCUGAGAGGAUGAUCAGCCACACUGGGACUGAGACACGGCCCAGACUCCUACGGGAGGCAGCAGUGGGGAAUCUUGGACAAUGGGCGCAAGCCUGAUCCAGCCAUGCCGCGUGAGUGAAGAAGGCCUUCGGGUUGUAAAGCUCUUUUACCAGGGACGAUAAUGACGGUACCUGAGAAUAG
This 436-nucleotide ribosomal RNA is filed under the name uncultured Fulvimarina sp. RNAcentral describes it as "bacterial SSU rRNA". It matches the Rfam family "Bacterial small subunit ribosomal RNA", at positions 8 to 488 of the family's 1533-position model. Lineage: Bacteria; Pseudomonadati; Pseudomonadota; Alphaproteobacteria; Hyphomicrobiales; Aurantimonadaceae. The record is from RNAcentral.